This 82-nucleotide transfer RNA is filed under the name Bacteroidota bacterium. RNAcentral describes it as "Bacteroidetes bacterium (hydrothermal vent metagenome) tRNA-Leu". It matches the Rfam family "tRNA". Rfam says of the family: Transfer RNA (tRNA) molecules are approximately 80 nucleotides in length. Their secondary structure includes four short double-helical elements and three loops (D, anti-codon, and T loops). Further hydrogen bonds mediate the characteristic L-shaped molecular structure. tRNAs have two regions of fundamental functional importance: the anti-codon, which is responsible for specific mRNA codon recognition, and the 3' end, to which the tRNAs corresponding amino acid is attached (by aminoacyl-tRNA synthetases). tRNAs cope with the degeneracy of the genetic code in two manners: having more than one tRNA (with a specific anti-codon) for a particular amino acid; and 'wobble' base-pairing, i.e. permitting non-standard base-pairing at the 3rd anti-codon position. The record is from RNAcentral. Lineage: Bacteria; Pseudomonadati; Bacteroidota.
GCGGAUGUGGCGAAAUUGGUAGACGCGUCAGACUUAGGAUCUGGUGCCGCAAGGCGUGGGGGUUCGAGUCCCUUCAUCCGCA